Molecule: ribosomal RNA, 207 nt
Filed under: uncultured bacterium
Lineage: Bacteria
Description: partial 16S ribosomal RNA
Rfam family: Bacterial small subunit ribosomal RNA
Source: RNAcentral
CGCGCAGGCGGCCUGGUCAGUCAGAUGUGAAAGCCCGGGGCUCAACCUCGGAAGUGCAUUUGAUACUGCUAGGCUUGAGUAUGGGAGAGGGAAGUGGAAUUCCUGGUGUAGAGGUGAAAUUCGUAGAUAUCAGGAGGAACACCGAUGGCGAAGGCGACUUCCUGGACCAAUACUGACGCUGAGGCGCGAAGGCGUGGGGAGCAAACA